GGUUGAAGGUGAGGUAAAACUCACUGGAGGACCGAACCAGGGCACGUUGAAAAGUGCUUGGAUGACUUGUGGGUAGCGGAGAAAUUCCAAACGAACUUGGAGAUAGCUGGUUCUCUCCGAAAUAGCUUUAGGGCUAGCGUCGAUGUUAAGUCUCUUGGAGGUAGAGCACUGUUUGGGUGAGGGGUCCAUCUCGGAUUACCAAUCUCAGAUAAACUCCGAAUGCCAACGAGAUAUCAUCGGCAGUCAGACUGCGAGUGCUAAGAUCCGUAGUCGAAAGGGAAACAGCCCAGACCACCAGCUAAGGUCCCAAAAUAACUGUUAAGUGGAAAAGGAUGUGGGGUUGCACAGACAACUAGGAUGUUAGCUUAGAAGCAGCUAUUCAUUCAAAGAGUGCGUAAUAGCUCACUAGUCGAGUGACCCUGCGCCGAAAAUGUACCGGGGCUAAAACAGUUUACCGAAGCUGUGGAUGACACAAAAGUGUCAUGGUAGGAGAGCGUUCUAUGUGUGAAGAAGGUGUACCGUGAGGAGCGCUGGAACGCAUAGAAGUGAGAAUGCCGGUAUGAGUAGCGAAAGACAGGUGAGAAUCCUGUCCACCGUAAGACUAAGGUUUCCAGGGGAAGGCUCGUCCGCCCUGGGUUAGUCGGGACCUAAGGAGAGACCGAAAGGUGUAUCCGAUGGCCAACAGGUUGAUAUUCCUGUACUAGAGUAUAUAGUGAUGGAGGGACGCAGUAGGCUAACUAAACCGGACGAUUGGAAGAGUCCGGCUAAGCAGUGAGGUGUAAGAUGAGUCAAAUGCUUAUCUUUAUAACAUUGAGCUGUGAUGGGGAGCGAAUUUUAGUAGCGAAGUUAGUGAUGUCACACUGCCAAGAAAAGCUUCUAGCGUUUAAUGAUACUCUACCCGUACCGCAAACCGACACAGGUAGUCGAGGCGAGUAGCCUCAGGUGAUCGAGAGAACUCUCGUUAAGGAACUCGGCAAAAUGACCCCGUAACUUCGGGAGAAGGGGUGCUGACUUAGGUCAGCCGCAGUGAAUAGGCCCAAGC
This 1042-nucleotide ribosomal RNA is filed under the name Lacticaseibacillus rhamnosus. Its description in RNAcentral is "partial 23S ribosomal RNA". It matches the Rfam family "Bacterial large subunit ribosomal RNA", at positions 743 to 1797 of the family's 2925-position model. The record is from RNAcentral. Lineage: Bacteria; Bacillati; Bacillota; Bacilli; Lactobacillales; Lactobacillaceae.